GUCUUCGUAGCUCAGCUGGUAGAGCAAUUGACUCUUAAUCAAUGGGUCCAGGGUUCGAUUCCCUGCGAGGACA
This 73-nucleotide transfer RNA is filed under the name Bacteroidales bacterium. RNAcentral describes it as "tRNA-Lys". It matches the Rfam family "tRNA". Rfam says of the family: Transfer RNA (tRNA) molecules are approximately 80 nucleotides in length. Their secondary structure includes four short double-helical elements and three loops (D, anti-codon, and T loops). Further hydrogen bonds mediate the characteristic L-shaped molecular structure. tRNAs have two regions of fundamental functional importance: the anti-codon, which is responsible for specific mRNA codon recognition, and the 3' end, to which the tRNAs corresponding amino acid is attached (by aminoacyl-tRNA synthetases). tRNAs cope with the degeneracy of the genetic code in two manners: having more than one tRNA (with a specific anti-codon) for a particular amino acid; and 'wobble' base-pairing, i.e. permitting non-standard base-pairing at the 3rd anti-codon position. Lineage: Bacteria; Pseudomonadati; Bacteroidota; Bacteroidia; Bacteroidales. The record is from RNAcentral.